GCACCCGUAGCUCAGCUGGAUAGAGUACUAGACUACGAAUCUAGGGGUCCCAGGUUCGAAUCCUGGCGGGUGCGCCA
This 77-nucleotide transfer RNA is filed under the name Ahrensia sp. RNAcentral describes it as "tRNA-Arg". It matches the Rfam family "tRNA". Rfam says of the family: Transfer RNA (tRNA) molecules are approximately 80 nucleotides in length. Their secondary structure includes four short double-helical elements and three loops (D, anti-codon, and T loops). Lineage: Bacteria; Pseudomonadati; Pseudomonadota; Alphaproteobacteria; Hyphomicrobiales; Ahrensiaceae. The record is from RNAcentral.